This 1520-nucleotide ribosomal RNA is filed under the name Salmonella enterica subsp. enterica serovar Agona. RNAcentral's name for it is "partial 23S ribosomal RNA". It matches the Rfam family "Bacterial large subunit ribosomal RNA", at positions 1299 to 2802 of the family's 2925-position model. Lineage: Bacteria; Pseudomonadati; Pseudomonadota; Gammaproteobacteria; Enterobacterales; Enterobacteriaceae. The record is from RNAcentral.
GACAUAAGUAACGAUAAAGCGGGUGAAAAGCCCGCUCGCCGGAAGACCAAGGGUUCCUGUCCAACGUUAAUCGGGGCAGGGUGAGUCGACCCCUAAGGCGAGGCCGAAAGGCGUAGUCGAUGGGAAACGGGUUAAUAUUCCCGUACUUGGUGUUACUGCGAAGGGGGGACGGAGAAGGCUAUGUUGGCCGGGCGACGGUUGUCCCGGUUUAAGCGUGUAGGUGUGUGUUCCAGGUAAAUCCGGUUCACUUUAACACUGAGGCGUGAUGACGAGGCACUACGGUGCUGAAGCAACAAAUGCCCUGCUUCCAGGAAAAGCCUCUAAGCAUCAGGUAACAUCAAAUCGUACCCCAAACCGACACAGGUGGUCAGGUAGAGAAUACCAAGGCGCUUGAGAGAACUCGGGUGAAGGAACUAGGCAAAAUGGUGCCGUAACUUCGGGAGAAGGCACGCUGACACGUAGGUGAAGUGAUUUACUCAUGGAGCUGAAGUCAGUCGAAGAUACCAGCUGGCUGCAACUGUUUAUUAAAAACACAGCACUGUGCAAACACGAAAGUGGACGUAUACGGUGUGACGCCUGCCCGGUGCCGGAAGGUUAAUUGAUGGGGUCAGCGCAAGCGAAGCUCCUGAUCGAAGCCCCGGUAAACGGCGGCCGUAACUAUAACGGUCCUAAGGUAGCGAAAUUCCUUGUCGGGUAAGUUCCGACCUGCACGAAUGGCGUAAUGAUGGCCAGGCUGUCUCCACCCGAGACUCAGUGAAAUUGAACUCGCUGUGAAGAUGCAGUGUACCCGCGGCAAGACGGAAAGACCCCGUGAACCUUUACUAUAGCUUGACACUGAACAUUGAGCCUUGAUGUGUAGGAUAGGUGGGAGGCUUUGAAGUGUGGACGCCAGUCUGCAUGGAGCCGACCUUGAAAUACCACCCUUUAAUGUUUGAUGUUCUAACGUGGACCCGUAAUCCGGGUUGCGGACAGUGUCUGGUGGGUAGUUUGACUGGGGCGGUCUCCUCCUAAAGAGUAACGGAGGAGCACGAAGGUUGGCUAAUCCUGGUCGGACAUCAGGAGGUUAGUGCAAUGGCAUAAGCCAGCUUGACUGCGAGCGUGACGGCGCGAGCAGGUGCGAAAGCAGGUCAUAGUGAUCCGGUGGUUCUGAAUGGAAGGGCCAUCGCUCAACGGAUAAAAGGUACUCCGGGGAUAACAGGCUGAUACCGCCCAAGAGUUCAUAUCGACGGCGGUGUUUGGCACCUCGAUGUCGGCUCAUCACAUCCUGGGGCUGAAGUAGGUCCCAAGGGUAUGGCUGUUCGCCAUUUAAAGUGGUACGCGAGCUGGGUUUAGAACGUCGUGAGACAGUUCGGUCCCUAUCUGCCGUGGGCGCUGGAGAACUGAGGGGGGCUGCUCCUAGUACGAGAGGACCGGAGUGGACGCAUCACUGGUGUUCGGGUUGUCAUGCCAAUGGCACUGCCCGGUAGCUAAAUGCGGAAGAGAUAAGUGCUGAAAGCAUCUAAGCACGAAACUUGCCCCGA